RNAcentral lists this ribosomal RNA (301 nucleotides) under uncultured bacterium. RNAcentral describes it as "partial 16S ribosomal RNA". It matches the Rfam family "Bacterial small subunit ribosomal RNA", at positions 509 to 807 of the family's 1533-position model. The record is from RNAcentral.
CAGCCGCCGCGGGAAUACGGAGGGUGCAAGCGUUAAUCGGAAUCACUGGGCGUAAAGCGCACGCAGGCGGUCUGACAAGUCAGAUGUGAAAUCCCCGGGCUUAACCUGGGAACUGCAUUUGAAACUGUCAGGCUGGAGUCUUGUAGAGGGGGGUAGAAUUCCAGGUGUAGCGGUGAAAUGCGUAGAGAUCUGGAGGAAUACCGGUGGCGAAGGCGGCCCCCUGGACAAAGACUGACGCUCAGGUGCGAAAGCGUGGGGAGCAAACAGGAUUAGAUACCCCGGUAGUCCCUGUCUCUUAUAC